Molecule: long non-coding RNA, 1814 nt
Organism: Amphiprion ocellaris (clown anemonefish)
Lineage: Eukaryota; Metazoa; Chordata; Actinopteri; Pomacentridae
Exons: 2
Source: RefSeq, a predicted model, not a curated record
GAUCAGCUGUGAUUCUCUGGUCUCAGCUCUGAAGUCCAACCCCUCCCAUAUGGAACAUCUGGAGCUGAGAUUCAACAACCUGCAGUAUUCAUCAGUGAAACAUCUGUUAGAUCUUGUGAAGAGUCCAGACUGCAGCCUGAAGACUCUAAGAUGGAAGUGAUGCUGAUCAGGACGGUGUUUGUGCUGAGAGGAUGAAGUGUGUCCUGAUGAUCCAGAGGUUGAAGCAGCAGCAGCAGCUGGUGUGUAGAGACUCUGACUGGACCAUGUUACUGGGAGGUGGACUGGGAACCAGUGUAAAGUGUGUUGUUAUCACUGUGUAGUUUAGUGUUGCAGCUCCACACUGUGAAUGAUGGAGAACUGCAGUUAAUGUUGACAUGAAACGUUGGCGGUUGAUGUCAGGUUGCAGAGUGUGCAGUAAGUUUCAGGAUGUUUCUGUCACUGCAGGAUCAUAUUUCAUUUGACUUUCUAUUUCCAGCUGCAGUCAAAGUUGUUGAGCUUCUCUACCUGCAACACAUUGAGCUGAUGAGAACAAAGUGUCCUGGAAACAUGUCAGCUGAAGCCUUGGUGCCCAGAGAGAGUUUCAUGAAGCACAUUUUAGUGGUUUUUGAUCACAUCAUGUUGAGGAGACAAACAGCUCUGAAGAUGAAUCCAGUUUAGUCCUCAAAGGUGCAGAAGCAGCUUGUUGAGCUCAGAGUUCAUAUUUAAUGUCAACAUCUUUUGACCUUUCUGAGCUCCAGUAAAUGUUUGUUCUAGUUUCUCUCUUCUUUACCUUCAGUCAGUUCCUCGUGUUCAGAAGCUUCCAAAUCAUGAAUAUUUUUUGUUUUCUGAGCUGCUGAUUUCUUUAAAUCCCACCAAAGACUUUAGCUGGGAUUAAGUCCAGGACUUUCCAGGAAGGAUUCCUGAAGCAGUCCUUGGUGGACAUUGGCUUGGGAUGCUGGUUCUUCUGAAAGUCCAGUGAGCUUCAGUUUCCUCACAUUGUUCUUGUAACUGUCCUGGUGUUUGAGAGAUUCCAUGAUGCUGCUCACAUGCUCCAGUUUAGCAGCUUCAAAGCCACCAACAGGACUGUUGAUGCUGUUCUUCUGGUCCUUCUGCCUCCAGAUGUUCUGCCCAAACAGUCCACUUUAGUCUCAUCAGUCCAUCAGACUCCCAGAACUCUGCUUUGUUCCACACAUGAAGAUCUUGUUGUUCAGUUUUGUCAGACUUUAGUUGUUUCCUUCAUCAGGUCCUGCAGCUCUUUACCAAUAAAACAGGUUUUCUACCAGCUGCUGCUGUCAAACAUCUGCUUCCUCUUGGACAGAUUUUGUCCAGUUUGAUUUAUUGACUCAGUUCAUCCACUGAGAUUCCUCCUGGUCCAUUCUUCAAAUGAGCCAGAAAAUCUUCAAGUCUUCAUCAACAUUCAGUCUCCUGGUGAACUCCAAGUAUUUUCUAUCCUCAGACUUAGUAAAGAACAAAACACCAAAGUCAGACUGGAAGUCAGUCAGAGUCAGAUGAAGUCUGAGAUUUACUGUCAUUUCAGCUCCAUGCAGCAAACAGAGGCUGGUUCAUGAACACAGACUCUGAUUCUGAGCUGAAAAUCCACAUUUUUACACUCUGACUGAUAUCUGCCCACUUGGAGCCUCAAUUCCAUGUUAUCAGUUCUUAAUCUUGUUCUGUAAAUUGUAUAUCAUUGUCUUUUAGUUUUGUCACUCUACUAGCAUCACCUCACUGUUGGUAAUAAUUCAUUCUCCUUUUUAAAACACGUAUGAAACAUAAUCCUGACUCAUCUUGUAAAUAACAAGAGCUUUUAAAUAAAGUAUGUCUUCACUUUUGCUAGA